AAUAACGGGAAUUCCCCGAAUUUGGGGGGGAAUUCGGGGAAUUUUGGGAUUUGGGGUGGGACUGAGGGAAUUCAGGAAUUUUGGGAUGGGAUUUUUUGGGGAAUUCAGGAAUUGGGGAAUUUUUGGGAUUUUUAGGAAUUCAGGGAUUUUGGAGAAUUCUGGGAUUUUUGGGGAAUUCAGGAUUUUUUGGGAUUCUGGGACUGGGGAUUUUUUGGGAUUUUUUGGGAAUUCAGGAUUUUUGGGAAUUCAGGAUUUUUUUGGGAUGGGAUUUUUGGGAAUUGGGGAUUUUUGGGAAAUUCAGGAUUUUUUUGGGAAUUCAGGAUUUUUUUGGGAAUUCAGGAUUUUUUGGGAAUUCAGGAUUUUUUUGGGAAUUCAGGAUUUUUUGGGGUGGGAUUUUUGGGGAAGGAUUUUUGGGAUGGGAUUUUUUGGGAUUUUGGGGAUGGGAUUUUUGGGAAUUCAGGAUUUUUUUGGAUGGGAUUUUUUGGGAAUUCAGGAUUUUUUUGGGAAUUCAGGAUUUUUUUGGGAAUUCAGGAUUUUUGGGGAUUUUUUUGGGAAUCAGGAUUUUUUUGGGAAUUCAGGAUUUUUUUGGGAAUUCAGGAUUUUUUGGGGAUUUUUUUGGGAAUCAGGAUUUUUUUGGGAAUUCAGGAUUUUGGAGGAAUUCAGGAUUUUUGGGAACGUCUCACCGGGGCGGCUCCGGAGUCGGGAAUCCGGGAGAGUUCCCAGAGCAGGUGGAAGAAGAGGCAGGAGAGCGCCGGGACCGUCACCUGCGGGGGGGGACAGCGCCCAAAACGGGCACAAAACCGGAAAAAACCGGCAAAAAACGGCAAAAACGGCAAAAAACAGCAAAAAACGGCCAGAAAAGGGCAAAAAAUGGGCCAAAACUGGCAAAAAAAGGUAAAAAAUGGGCAAAAAAUGGGCAAAAAACUGCAAAAAACAGGCAAAAAACGGCCAGAAAAGGGGAAAAAAUGGGCAAAAAAUGGGCAAAAACUGGCAAAAAAAGGCCAAAGAAUGGGCAAAAAAGGCAAAAAACGGGCAAAAAACAGCAAAAAACGGCAAGAAAUGGGCAAAAAAUGGCAAAAAAUGGGCAAAAAAGGGGCAAAAAACGGCAAAAAAUGGCAAAAAAUGGGCAAAAACUGGCAAAAUAUGGGCAAAAAACGGGCAAAAAACUGGCAAAAAAUGGGAAAAAAAACGGGUAAAAACCAGCAAAAAACGGGUAAAAAAUGGGCAAAAAAUGGGCAAAAAAACGACCAAACAAUGGGCAAAAAUGGCAAAAAUCUGGCUAAAAACGGCCCCAAAAACCGACAAAAACCAACAAAAAUGGCCAGAAGUCAACAAGAAUGACCCCAAAACCAUCCCAGAAGUGUCCAAAAGCAGCAAAACCACCCCAAAAGUGUCCAAAACCACCCCAAAAGUGUCCAAAAGCAGCAAAACCACCCCAAAACCACCCCAAAACCACCCCAAAAGUGUCCAAAAACGACCAAAACGGGCAAAGAACGGCCCAAACCAGCCCAAAGCAGCCAAGAACGGCAAAAACGGCCCCAAAAUGGGCCUGAAAGUUCUGGAAAUGGCCCUGAAGUGUCCCCAGGUGUCCCCAGGUGUCCCCAGGUGUGUCCCCAGAUGUCCCCAGGUGUCCCCAGGUGUCCCCAGGUGUGUCCCCAGAUGUCCCCAGGUGUCCCCAGGUGUCCCAGGUGUGUCCCCAGGUGUGUCCCCAUGUCCCCCCAGGUGUCCCAGCUGUCCCCAGGUGUGUCUCAGCUGUCCCCAGGUGUCCCCAGGUGUAUCUCAGGUGUCCCAGCUGUCCCCAGGUGUCCCCCAGGUGUCCCCUCACCUGUUCCGGGAUCUCGCCGGUGUCCAGGUGGUGCCGCAGGAGCCGCGAGAGCGGCCCCAGGAGCCCCCAGGGGGUCAGGUCGUGGUCACUGCAGUGGGGACAGUGGGGACAGUGGGGACAUUUGGGGCCAUUGGGGCCAUUUUGGGGACAUUUUGGGGACAUUUGGGGCCAUUUGGGCCAUUUUGGGGCCAUUUUGGGGCCAUUUGGGGCCAUUUGGGCCAUUUUGAGGCCAAUAUGGGGACAUUUGGGACAUUUGGGGCCAUUUGGGGCCAUUUUGGGGACAUUUUGGGGACAUUUUGGGGGAUUUUGGGACAUUUUGGGGGAUUUUGGGACAUUUUGGGGCCGUUUGGGGCCAUUUGGGGCCAUUUGGGGACAGUUUGGGGACAUUUUGGGCCAUUUUGGGGACAUUUGGGGCCAUUUGGGGACGUUUGGGGACAUUUGGGGACAUUUUGGGACAUUUUGGGGCCGUUUGGGGACAUUUUGGGACAUUUGGGGCCAUUUGGGGCCAUUUGGGGCCAUUUGGGGACAUUUUGGGGCCAUUUGGGGCCAUUUUGGGGACAUUUUGGGGACAUUUUGGGGGAUUUUGGGAC
This 2415-nucleotide long non-coding RNA is filed under the name Cyanistes caeruleus (blue tit). RNAcentral describes it as "lncRNA (ENSCCEG00000002125.1)". Lineage: Eukaryota; Metazoa; Chordata; Aves; Passeriformes; Paridae. The record is from RNAcentral.